RNAcentral lists this long non-coding RNA (293 nucleotides) under Capsella rubella. Its description in RNAcentral is "long non-coding RNA (CRUB_LNC003039)". The record is from RNAcentral. Lineage: Eukaryota; Viridiplantae; Streptophyta; Magnoliopsida; Brassicales; Brassicaceae.
AAUACGUGAGAAAUAAACAAACAUCCAAAAUAAAAGAAUGAAGAUGGUUUCUUAAGCUUGAUUUUCUUAUGGUGCAAUGGUCAGAAAUUAAUAUUUUUGAAUCCCAUCAAUAAAAUAAUUUUCUUAUAACUAUAAAGUAUUAUUAUACAUAUGUAUUAUAUUUAAAUAUAAAAAAUAAUGAAGAAAUGAAGAAAUACAUAAAAACAAAAAAAAAUAAAGAAAAUUGAAAACAAAAAUUUAAACCAAAUAUUUAAUCAAACUCUUACAGUGACAUCUUAAUUGAGUUUUCACCC